GUACUGUACUCACUCUGCAGGGUGUUGGGGUCAAUGAGGUGGAUGGUGUGUACUGUACUCACUCUGCAGGGUGUUGGGGUCAAUGAGGUGGAUGGUGUGUACUGUACUCACUCUGCAGGGUGUUGGGGUCAAUGAGGUGGAUGGUGUGUACUGUACUCACUCUGCAGGGUGUUGGGGUCAAUGAGGUGGAUGGUGUGUACUGGAUGGUGUGUACUGUACUCACUCUGCAGGGUGUUGGGGUCAAUGAGGUGGAUGGUGUGUACUGGAUGGUGUGUACUGUACUCACUCUGCAGGGUGUUGGGGUCAAUGAGUUGGAUGGUGUGUACUGGAUGGUGUGUACUGUACUCACUCUGCAGGGUGUUGGGGUCAAUGAGGUGGAUGGUGUGUACUGGAUGGUGUGUACUGUACUCACUCUGCAGGGUGUUGGGGUCAAUGAGUUG
This is a long non-coding RNA of Oncorhynchus keta (chum salmon), 440 nucleotides long. RefSeq lists it as uncharacterized. The record is from RefSeq and is a predicted model, not a curated record. The transcript has 3 exons. Lineage: Eukaryota; Metazoa; Chordata; Actinopteri; Salmoniformes; Salmonidae.